This 2537-nucleotide long non-coding RNA is filed under the name Homo sapiens (human). Its description in RNAcentral is "HSALNT0147795". The record is from RNAcentral. Lineage: Eukaryota; Metazoa; Chordata; Mammalia; Primates; Hominidae.
GUUCAGUGGGAGUGAUCAUAGCUUGCAGCAUAGAACUCCUGAGCUCAAGCUAUAUUCUUGUUUCAUCUUCCUACAGCACUGAAAUUACAGAAUCCUUGAAGGAGAACUAGGAUUACAGUUACUGUUCUUUAAGCUUAAAAUGAGCUUCAAUCAAGAGGAAGAAGGAAAAUUGCUUAAGUCAGACCCGACAGCUAAAGGCAUGCUAUACACAUUCUCUACUGAAAUCAGUGUCCUCAAAUGCCUGCGGCGUUCUAAACACACGAGCAACAAGGAGGCAUAGCCACUGACCAGAGAAGAUGAAGCACUCUGGAGAGAUCAAAGACCAUCGGGCCUGAGUGGCUGUACAAUUUCGCACUGGGGGUUCUAUUCAGCAGUCUAAAUUGCAGCUGGUCUGUCUGUCCAAAGCACAACAUGGCACACAAUUAUGUAGCAUCACUCAGCUUAGCAAAAAGCAGUUUGCAUCAAAGGAACAACAGAAUAGGAAGAGACCUAAUAUUUCUUGAAGCCUACUGUGUGCUAACUACUUGAUGUGUGGUUUUCAUAUACUCUUUGCACCAAACCUAUGAGGCAAUUUGCUCUUCAAAAAACUCCGAGUCUGUGUGGUGUUGCCUACAUUUUUCUUGGAUUUUAUUUCCCUUUCAAUGGCCUACUCUCAGUGUUGGUGUCUGAGCUUCCUCUGUGUGGAACAGAAGAUUUUUAAACCUGUAUAUUUAUAGCAAACAAUGAAUCUCUAAAUAGUUCUUCAGAUCUUGAAGUGUUCCCACUUAUUAAUUAAUUUGAGAAGGUUUUGCCAGAUCUGAGGGAGAUUUUCAUAUUUUUUCUUCUCAUAUGGCAAAGAAGUUCUCAGGCCUAUGAAUUUAUAGAAAGAAAGUGAAAUCUGGCAAGAUCAUCAGAGACUGUUUAAUUGGGAUUUUUGUGCUUCAGAAAACAAGAAAAUCAAGCUCAGAGAUGAAAUCAGGUCUUCCAAACCUCCUGAAAGGAGUCUCCCUGUUCUAUAUUCAGGAAGGCAUUGGUCACAUUGAGGUCCUUUUGGGAUUCUCUAGUUUUCAUGUUUCAGUGGUAGACAAGGGAGUGUUUGAAGCAUCAAGAGCAUUUUCAGUGUCACUAUUCUCUGUCUUAACUCUCCUGAAGCACCAACCAUGAUCAAGCUUGCAGUCUGAGUGUAAGAUGUAGAAGGAGACAGAAAUGAAAUGCAGUUACCCAAGAAAUAUUUAAAUACAAUUGUAUUAAAUACUGUGAUGGAGAGAUACAGACUACUGCGAGUGUGUAUAUAAAAACGGGGGGUCCUGAUCUGGUCAGGUGGAAUGGGGAAAGCUUCCAGGAGGAAGACAAAUUUAAGCUGAGACCUGAAGGGCGAUUAGAAAUUGUGCAACUGAGGGAGACAAUUCUAUUAAUAGCGCUAUAUCCCCUAGUGACUGGAAUGUAGGGUUUGAGACCUUGGGCUCAAAGACUGACUGCCUGAACAAAAUUCUCUCCUUUACCACACUUUUAGCUCUGUUUUCUGUGGGCAAGACACUGAAGUUUUCUGUUUCUCCAGCCCUUUGUAUGAAAUUAGGGAAUAAUACUAUUAAGGUAUUGUGCUCUUAAACCAUUAUCACACAAUUUUGAUAAUCCCAUGUGAAACUUAAAUGCAAUAAUGCAUGUAAAGCAUUUUAACAGUGCCAAACACUCAGUAAACAAUCAACAAAUAUUGGCUAUUAUUAUUGCAGGAUUCUGCAGCUUACAAAACAUUUUCAUAGGCAUCAUACAUUAUCUCAUCACCAAUGCUUUCCUAUAGUACUAGUUCUCGGGACACUUCCUCUGCUGAUGGUACUAUGAUUCUAUUUGGAGAAAAUAAGCAAAUGCUGUGAACCCCUUUUUAGCUUUAUUAGGGGCUAGGAGUAUUCUGUGGGAGAAUCGAGACAGAGCUUGGGUCUCGGAGUCCCCAAGUAUAUUCAAGAAUCCUCCUAUGUAGACUGGAAGUUUACCAAUACUUAAAAUUCUAGCAGUGUCUUAGAUGAAUAGAGGCACACAUUUAAAGGACUAGGUUACAUUAAGGAUUUUGAAAACAUGACAUUUAUGGUUUAACUGCUCCUCAGGAAUCAUGUCCUCAAACUGUUCAAUAAUGAUGUAAGAUGGGUGAACAAACAAUUUAAGCUUCACUCUAAAAUAAUCUCGGCGGGAGCACAAUAUUGUAAACAGUCAUUGCUGCAUCUCCAUUCUGUGAAGUUCCCUUUCAUUGUUGUCCAUUUAUUCCUUUAAACUAAAAGUCUUUGACCAAGUUACUUAGCAUCUUCUAACAAUUCUUAAAAGUUCUUCUAAAGAAAUUCAGCGUAAGGCGGUGUGAGCUAUUACACUGACUAUAAAGAAUGUCAUUUCUAUUGAAAAGAGCAAACUUUCCACUAAACACAUUUGACCUUCUUCUAUCUGGUAUUGUGGCUCAUCUGAGAAUAGGGAUGGUGGCUGUAUUAGUUCAUUCUCAUGCUGCUAAUAAAGACGUACCCGAGAUUGGGUAAUUUAUAAAGGAAAAGGGUUUAAUUGACUCACACAGUUCAGCA